GUAACUUUCUUAAUAAUGCUUGAAAAUUUAUAAAAGGGGUAGUUUUGGAUAGCUAACAGAUUACUCUUUCAAACAAAUGCAAUGUUAGUAUUAUGCAACAAUUAUGUAACCAAUUAUAAUGUUAACUGUGUCUAAAAUAUUUUUCACCAAAUUUCCACUUUCAAAUGAAAUUAGCUUCUGCAUAGGCAUCCCUAGAGGGUUGAUUUUAUUAUAUGUUGUUCCUAUGGUCAUUAUCUACAAAAGAGUGUCUCAGAUUUCAGAUAGAAUGUAUAGAACAAAUUUUACACCUAAUUGAACAUUAUCUUCUUUUAGGUGGUUAGGAUGUUUACACUAAUUAGAGAUUUAUGAGAGAAUGGAAUACAAUAGGGACAAUCUGAGACACCCUUUUGAAGCCCAUGAUGUGUUGAUUAAGAUUCCGUUAAAAUUUUCUGUAUAGUUAAAAGAUGAUAGAGCUAAAUUCAUUCAAGUGAACUUACCCAGAUUUUGCCACUAAUUACAUAAUAAUUGAU
This 509-nucleotide long non-coding RNA is filed under the name Mytilus galloprovincialis (Mediterranean mussel). Lineage: Eukaryota; Metazoa; Mollusca; Bivalvia; Mytilida; Mytilidae. The record is from RNAcentral.